GCUGCGCCAUGUGGUUUGAUGAUCUGCUUGAUAUCAAACAAUUUCAAUCAGAUGGUCAGGAUCUUUACGUUAGAGUGUCUGCUUCAGAAUCAGGUACUGCUUUAUAAACUACAUGUUCUUGUUACAUCUUGCGAUAAUGCUUUUUGGGUUUUUGUGUGUACAAGCCCAAUCUAAACCCUUCCCAAACCCAUUACAAAACAACCCACCAGCCCAAACCCAAGCCCAACUACUAGCCCAAUAACCCAAACACUUUCAGAAAAAACCUAACCCCUAACCCUAGCCGUCGCACCCAUCACCUACCCUCUGCCACCGCCACCAACCCCGCCGUUCACCUACCCUCUGCCACCGUCCCAUCACCUCUCCCAUGCCACUUGCAUCUGCAAAAAUAAAGAAGAAAAGACAGAAAACAAAAAAUAAUAGAAAGUUGUAGAAGGCUAUAUUAAGCCACCGAAACUAUUUUGUAAAGGGGGGUACUCUUUGUAACAAAACAGAGAUUAGCAGAAAAAGAAAUACAAUACAAACUAAGUUUUAAGGUGAUUUCCACCCCUUUUCGUUUUCAUAUUUUACCAUUUUUAUUUUACUUUUUCUUUUUUGUUCAUCUAUUUAUAUACAUAUAAUAAAUAAUAAUAAUAAAAAAGGAGAGGGAAACUCACCGAGGGGAGGCGAUUCGGCGAAAAAAGGGGAAAUUUACCUGCCUUUUGGACUUCCGGCCACCGUGUACGGUGGCCGGAGCAACGCCGGCACGACGGACGGUUCGACGGACGGCGACCGAAGCUCGCCGGACUCUGGACUACCCCCAGAGGUCUCCCCUCCCUCUCUCUCCUCUUUUUUUUCCCUCAGCAGCACAAAAUGAUGUUUUUUUUGCAAAAGGGGGGUAUUUAUACCCCCCUGAAACGGCGCCGUUUCGGCAAAAGGGGGUUCGCGCGUCGACCCGCGACCCGACCCGCUCCGACCCGAAGGAUCCGCGUGUUUUUAAUUUUUGGGCUAUUUACGCGCGCAGUCCCUCUGACUUGUGGCGUGUUUCAAUUUGGUCCUAUUUCGCUAUUUCUUUGUUUUUAAUUUGACCACAAAUUUUUAUUUCUGUUUCAUUUUAGUCCCCUGAAGCGCCGCGUUUUGAGAUUUUGGUCUAUUUUCCAUUUUGGUCCCUCUUCUUUCCGUGCGUGUUACAAUUUAGUCUUUUUAGUCCUUUUUUAUUUCGAAUCUGCCCAGUACUUUUUAUUUUACUUCGAUUUAGUCCUCUUUUUAGUACUUUUGCUAUUAUUAUUAUUAUUAUUAUUAUUAUUAUUAUUAUUAUUAUCAUCUUUACUAUUAUUAGUAUUGGUAUUAUUGUUGUUACUUUUAUAUCUCUAUUCAUAUUUACUUAUGUAUUUUUAAAUAUAUAUAUGUCUUAUUAUUAUCAUAUAAGUGCUUGUACAUAUACAUGUACAUAUUUUACAUAUAAUUUGUUUAAUAUAUAUACGUAUACUCAUAUUUCUUUUUUAUAUAUAUCUAUAUACAUAUACAUAUUUUUAUUUUUAUAAGUAUAUAUAUUUAUAUGUAUGUAUUUAUAUAUUUUUGUAUAUCUUAAUUUGCAUAGACAUAUACAUACAUAUUUUCAAUAUAUUUUAAACAUAUAUAUAUAAAUUAACGUAUUUAUUUGUAUACGUAUGUAUAUUUUCAUUAUUUUUAAACUUUAAUUUGUACAUACAUAUUUUCAUGCGCCUACUUUAUAUAUGCAUUUCAUUAAUUUCAUAUUCCAUAAUUUUAUACACCUAUAUAUAUACGUACAUAUUUUUAUAUAUAUGCAUAUUUUUUCUUCUUUAUAUUUUAAAAUAUACUUUAUAUAUUUUGUAAUUUAUGAAUACACACAUAUUUUAUUUUUUGUCUAUACAUAUAUAUAUAUAUAUCCCCUUACAUUUUAAUUGUAUUCACUAUUUAUUUAUUUCAUUUUCAUUAUUAUUUUGAACUAAUGUUUAAUUUAUUUGUUUAUAUACAUUGUUAUUUUAUAUGAUUGUAGGUUUGACUUUUAUUUAUUUUAUAUUGUUGCUAUUGCUCGUAUCAUUUUUACACUUUUGUAUUCAUUAUGAUUUUGUCAUGUAUAACAAUGUAAUUUGCUUUCACAUUUUUACUACGACUUCAUGUUUUUAUUUCACUCGAUAAUAAAAUUUGUUUUAAAAAAAAUGAUAUUUUGUGUUUAGAUUCGAGAGGAUCGUACCCUAACUUACUGGGUUUCGAUUUCCACAAUAAAUCUAAAUACACUAAUCUUUUCAAACUCAAGUUUUGAAACGAUCUCGGGAAUUAAGAAAAGAUCGUGUCCUAACUUACUGGGCAUGAUCCCUUUCCUAAACCCGAGAUAAUAAAAUAUCUUUUAAAUAAGUAAAAUUCUGGCAUUCAUUCACGUAUUGGGAAUUUGAGACAUUGUAUUCUAACUUACUGGAUAUGAUUCUCUUUCUCGAAUAAUGUGAAAUAUGCCCAUUUUCCUAAAAAUUUUCAACGUUUUAAUACAAGGAUCGUAUUUUUUAAAUUCUUCUAAGUUUUUCAAUUUUCGACAUUAAGACAUUAAGUAAUCAACUAAGGUACCAAUUUUGGGCGUAUCGAGGGUGCUAAUCCUUCCUCGUGCGUAACCGACUCCCGAACCCGUUUUCUGAAUUUCGCGGACCAAACUUGUUGUUUUAAUAAAAUCAAACCGUUUAUUAAAAACAACCGCUUUUCAAGGUGAUCCAAUCACACCUUAUAAAAAAGAUUGGUGGCGACUCCUGUUUCAUUUUUUUCAAAACCCAAGUCGACCCCGUUUUUAUCCAAAAAAAUGGUGUCAACAGCUUGGCGACUCCACUGGGGAACAGAUUUGGGAGAGUCGAGCCAUUUGUUGAUUACUUUGUUUUUUUGUCAAAGAUUGAAAACUUGACACGAUCCUUGUGUUGCAUUUCAUUCGUCUUUAUUUCAGUCAUUAUCAUUUUGUUUAUAAUUACUUCGUUUAGAUGUAUAUUUCUGCACAUUGCAUUGCAUGACCGUUGGUCACACCUUUUUAAGUGGGAGUGAGAAACUACGCCUUCGUGAGGUUUUCACCUCCGCAUGGGAUAGUGAAUCGCUUCCGGGAUACAUCCGUACCUAUGUCUUCGUGAGAUUCUCAUCUCCGCAUGGCCAUAGGGAAAUGUAUCCCCCUGAAUCGAACUUGGUCCGUAUGAGCCUAUAAUGGGUGAGGAUCGAGGAAUUUGCUGGUUCAGGUACCCUACUUUAGAACCAAACCACAUGUAAUGAGCCAUAGGAACCGACCUAGGUAGAGCUACUCUAAAUUUUUAGUGCUUACCUAAAUGAAUGUUGUAUUUAUUUGUCGCUUAUUUUAAAUCUUAUUCUGUGUUUAAUGCUAAUUUACUUUGUUUGUGAUUGCAUGGCAUCUUCAUUCUAAAAGAGGUGUCGAUUCACGUUCAAUUUCUUGGUAGAAAGCUUAUCAUGGAAAAGGGGUUUGUUGAUAAAGUAGAGGAUAAUGCGGCUGUGCGAAUAUGGGCUGAAACGACACAACGGGAGAAAGGCGAUAGUCUUACCGAAGGGUACGUGUCAGAAUUGUGGGAUUUUACCCGUAUCAGUGUAAUCCAGAAUGACCUUCGAGAAAUGAAAGAAGUCUGGGAUCAAUGGGAUGUCGAGGCCAAGCAGCUGUUCUAUUGUAACUACGGUGACCUACCUUACCUGCUUAGUGUCAAAGUGGACAAGUAUUUAUUCCGAGCCCUUACUCAGUUUUGGAAUCCUGCCUACAGUUGUUUCACUUUUGGGAAGGUAGAUUUGACGCCUACUGUGGAGGAGUAUACGACCUUGCUUCGGUGCCCAAAGAUUCAAGUCGACAAGGCUUAUUCUAGAGCUGCAUGUGUCCCUCCGUUGUUAAAGAAAUUAAUGAACAUCACUGGGAUGAGCGAGCAGUGGGUCGCUGCCCGGAUCCAAUAGAAGGGCGACAGUAAAUGUGUUCCUUGGAAAAGUUUGCGAGAUUUGGUGCUUGUACAUCCUGACUUAAAGAAAAGGGUCGAUGUCUUCGCUUUAGGUAUCUAUGGACUAGUGGUUUUCCCCAAAGCUUUAGGACACAUAGACGAGGCUGUAUCUGAUUUGUUCGAUCGGCUUAGUAAAGGGGUUACACCGGUUCCGCCAAUACUCGCUGAAACUUUUAGAUCCUUGAAUGCGUGUCGAAAAGCAGGGGAGGGAAGGUUUAUAGGAUGCGCGCAGCUCUUAUUGGCAUGGUUCCAUAGCCACUUUUGGAAAGUCGAAAAGGUCUCUUAUCGGGUAUUCUCUGAUAGCUACUCCCCUCUAGGAGAAUUGGUGGCCACGCCAAGACGGGAUGAUAUUUCAGAAGAAAAAUGGAUAGAGAUACUCCAGAAUCUCCAAGAUGAAGAUAUUGAAUGGAGGGCUCCUUGGUUAAUUCCUGAUGAGAUAUUGUACCGAUAUGGAGAUUUUGACUGGGUUCCGCUGCUCGGGAUAUGGGGAGCUAUCGGAUAUGCUCCUCUACUCGUAUCAAGACAGUAUAGAUCACGACAAUUCAUACCAGCAACCCAGGGGUUGGCUUAUAGUGAUUUUUCCUAUAGGGAGGACAAUUACAAGAAGAAGGUUCGAGAAAUAUCUAGUGCCUGGAACCAGACUCGUCGAAUGAAGAUCUUAACCGUGGGUCCGACAAUUACCCCCGAGUAUGGUCAGUGGCGUGAUCAAAGGAUCAACGACAACAUCCCGGUGUCAAAUUCAGAAACUGCUCGAUCUUUAGAGGAAUACUUACAAGUUUUGCCUUCUGAGAUAGAAAUCAUCAAACAAGAAUUCGAAAAAAGAAGUUUAGAAUUGGGAAAGAAGAUAGAACAACUAGAGGAAGAAAAAAUGCAGUUAGGACUGGAUGUGGACAUUCAAAUAUUAGAGGCCAACAAAUUGAGAAAAGGAAAGAACAAGGCAGAAGAAGAUUUGGACAGCCUGAAGACAGAUUACAAGAAGUUGCGUAAGUCGGUAAGAGCCGCUGGCUUGGGUAAAACACCAGAACAAUGGCGACAAGAAAUUCAGGAGGAAAAGACGAAAGCUAAUCAAUGGGAAAAGAAAUUUCAGGAUACUCGGGCUCGAGAAGUCGCCUUGGGAAAGAGUCUACUAGUUUGCCAAGACGAGAAGACGGAGUUGAAGGUCCGGAUAACUGAACUAGAAAGAUCGCUUCACCAGUACUGUAAUCGUAAUGCUACGGUUGAAUUAAGGGCGAGCUUAGACAAAAUUGAAGAAUUAAAAAGACAGAUAGGAGGGCUAGGGAAUGCAUUGCAAAAUAGUGAAAUUCGGAUAGAGCUUCUGGAAGAAAGUAAUGAGCAGUGGCAAAGACAAUUCCGUCGGUCUCAAGAGCAGAUUGGAGAAAGAGAUUAUAUUAUGGGAAAGGCGGUGACUCAAGUGCGCGAAGUAGCUGAUCAUCUGCAAACUCUAGCGGUUCAGCUGAUCUAUUAAGUUUGAAGUAUGAGUCAGAGUCGGACAGGGGCCGGGAAUUAGCUUGGCUUCUUAGAAAGGUUAAGGCUUUGAGUGUGAGGGCAAAGCCAUAUAUGUAGUCUAUUUUAUGUAAAGAAACUCUUUAUCUAGUAAAGUUUUCUAAUGAAGUUGAAUUAGAAUCAGUGCCUCUUUUCCUUUGCAUUCUUUUCAUGCAUUGCAUCACAUCAUAUGCAUUAAUGACCAUUAAAAACCUAAUCGAAUAAAAUCAUUUCAGUUAACCUGGAAAACCAACAAAGUUACGGCACCCGAGCUAAGACAAAAAAUAUGGACCAAAGGUUGGAGAAGCUAGAGCGACUUCAAAGAGAAAUGCAAGACCAGUUGCAGGCGCAAAUGAAAGAGCAAAUAGAAAAGAUUCAGCGUGACAUGGUACAAAAGAUGGAGGAGUCCCAAAAUGAUCUGGUGGCUAAGAUGACGCAAUUAUUGAAGGGAGUAGAUAAGGGUAAAGGGCCUGUGAUUGUUAGUGAAGAAGAAAACAAUGGUGAACCACUUUAUCCUCCAGGUUUCACGCCUCCGCAUGCGCAAGUACAGACUGAGCUGCAUCCGCGGAGACCCUCUGUGUCGGUUAGGCCCCAGCAGUUCCAAGGCGAUGCUUCAAUUCCAAUAAAUUUUCAACCCGGAGCGGGCUUUAAUCCCGGUGAUAGCCCGAAUAAUAUUGCUGUCCCAGAUCUUGACGAGAUGGUUGAAAAGGAUAAGGCGAAGGAGGAAUUUCCAAAAUAAUUUGAGGAGAAAUGGAAAUGGAUAGAAGAGAAGUUUAGGGCAAUAGAAAGCAUCGAAAGCUAUGGAAUAGAUGCAAAGGAUCUGAGCUUGGUUCCGGACUUGGUGCUCCCUUACAAAUUUAAGAUGCCGGAAUUCGAGAAAUAUAAUGGGACCAGCUGCCCAGAAGCUCAUAUUACUAUGUUCUGUAGGCGUAUGGCCGGAUACGUCAACAACGACCAACUGCUCAUACACUGCUUUCAAGAUAGCCUCACAGGGGCAGCGUCUAAGUGGUACAAUCAAUUGACGCGUAUCCAGAUUAGUUCUUGGAGGGAUUUAGCACAAGCCUUUAUGAAACAAUACAGUCAUGUAGCUGAUAUGGUCCCUGACAGAAUAACCCUGCAAAAUAUGGAGAAAAAACCUAAUGAAAGUUUUAGGCAAUACGCACAAAGGUGGAGGGAGGUCGCUAUCCAAGUUCAGCCGCCGCUCCUAGAGAAAGAAAUGACGAUGCUCUUCAUCAACACAUUGAAGGCCCCGUUCAUCACCCACAUGUUAGGAAGUGCUUCGAAGAGUUUUUCAGACAUAGUCAUGAGCGGUGAAAUGAUUGAAAGUGCCGUGAGAAGUGGAAAGAUUGAUGCUGGGGAGAAUAAUAGAAAGUCAGACUUAAAGAAGAAUGAAAAUGAUGUGAGUAAUGUCAACACUUACAACAAAUCGAUUACACAGCCAAGAAAGGUGACUGCUAGUCAGCAAGGUUCAUCUAGACAAGAAAUUAGUGUGAAACAAGGUACUGAGAACCUCCAGUUCACGCCAAUCCCGAUGUCGUAUAACGAGCUGUAUCAAAAGUUAUUCGAUGCACGCAUUGUUUCUCCUUUCUACUCAAAACCUCCACAGCCACCGUACCCCAAAUGGCACGAUGCGAAUGCACAUUGCGAAUAUCAUGCGGGAAAUACGGGGCAUUCCAUAGAGAACUGCAUAGCCUUCAAGAAACUGGUUGAAAAGCUCAUCAACAUGGGUGUCGUCAAGUUUGGUGACUCAUCUAAUGCAGAAAAUUCGCCACCCAAUCAUGAUUAACAAUGGGGUGAACGCAAUAUAUGAGAAAGUGUUGGGAAGUUUUCACAUCAAUACCAUAUAUGAAGGCAUAAUUGAAAAGGGAUCUUGUUAGAUGUCUGCCCUUAUAAACCUGGAGUGUUCCAAGCAAUGGGCUUGUAGAAGAAAUCCCUGUAGUUUUUAGAGCUUAUUUAGAGUAAUGUUCAGAACAUUUUUGCUGUUUUUAGCCUGAAGCGAUAGAAAUUCCUUUGUGAAAUAGGCUAAUGUCUGAACGUUAUUAUUCUAAUAAAAUACAUCUUUGCGUUCCUUUUUGAGCCAAUAUUCUCUCAUUCUUUUUAAUAAUUAUUUUUGAUUAUUUCAUUCUGUUGGAUUUUCUUCCACAACAUUCAUUCAUAAUCAUAUUGUAAAUAAUCAUUCAUAAAUUUAUACAUUCUUUUGUAUAUUCCUCGGUGCUUAUUAUGAGUCCUCAGAUAUCAAUAACAUGAAUGAAACUGCUGCAAACUCAGAUUUUCCACUUGAGUGAGGCAUGUGCUUAGAUGGAUCUCAUGACUUUGGAAAUGACAUAGAUAGUAGCUUACCCCCAAACUUAUUGAGGAUGGUUGAGUAGGAGGAUAGACAGAUCCUACCUCACAAUGAAUCACUAGGAAUUCUGAGCUUGGAAUUGACUUGUCCUCAAAAAUGAAGCAAGACCUUGUUCAAAGAUGUCUUUGUAGGAUCAUACCAGGAUAUGCCGGGUUAAGCAUUGAUAAUGAAAUCUGCACAACAAUACGAUGUCCAAACUCGUAUGAAUGAUACAAUUCUUUGCCGGGGCAAUACCGUUCUCGUCAAUUCAGCAUAGCUUUGCCCGUUUGAAGUCGAGUUUCUAUUCCUUCAAGAUGUUGCUGGAUUUUAUCCCGAUGGAAGAAGAAGAUCAAAAGUUUCCAGUUGUAGUUUUGCCCUAAAAGGCUCUAUAAAGGAAAUUCGAUAUCAGAGAAGAUCCUUUGAAGGGGAUAACAAGGACUUGCCUAAUCCCAAGAGUUUAGAUCCGAUUCAAAAAACAAGGGAAAAGAAAAAAAAACAAAAUCAAAAUCAAAAUAAAAAAUAAAAACAAAGAGAAAUCAAUCAAAGUCAAAAUAAAAAUAUGAAAAGCAAAGAAAAGAAAAGGAGAGGCCAAGGCGAAAAACCAAAAAGGCGCUUUGUGACCAAAAGUGGUUUUGAGUGGAAAACCCAAAAAGGGUGACUCAAAUUUUGAGCAAAAUGGGGCAUGGACAUCACCAUUAUCGAAGACUUCUAAUGGGCAUUGCUUCACUAUUGAGAUCAUUAAUUACUUCAUCAAAUGGAUAAAGGCUACAGUAUGCGUCAAUGUCAUCAUAUGCCAAUAUAGAAUUCCAGAGACGAUGGUAUGGGAAAAUGUAUUGAACUAGAAUGACAACAUGAUAGUUGAGGGCUGUAAUCGGUUCAAAAUCAGACAUCACAGUUUGUCACUGUAUUGUAAGACAAUGAAGUUCAAAAAAAAGAAAAAGAUGAAGAAUGAAAAUGGAAAAUGAAAAGAGUAAAAUGGAGAGGCUAAGGGGAAAACCCGCAAAGGGCGCCUUAGGCCAAAGGGGAUCUGAGCUGAAAACCCGAAAAGGGCGGCUCAAAUACUGAUCAAAAUGGGGCAUGAGGUGAUAUAAGCUGCUCAAGUUUUGUUCAUAUUGAGGCAUGUGUUGAUCUUGCCAUGCCUGAAUCAACAGGAAAGGAUAGGCGACAUCUUGGGGGCAUCGACAGAGCAUUGUAGAUCUCCUAAACACAUGUCCAACUCAAAAGGGUCUUCAGAAAGUUUGUAUAGAGAAGUUCAAGCUGUGAUAUCUGGGGCACCAAAUUCUCAUGUUAUUUGUUGUUCUUGGAAUACUUUUUCUUUCUUUCCAAGAUAUACAUUCCCAAUUAAUUCUUUUGUUGUCCUUCUUCACUAUUUUCGAUAAUUUGUUCUUUCGAGCUAUGCUCAGAACCAACUUUAUUCUUAUCCAUUGUUAUGACCUUUUUGCAAGCAUUGGAAUAAUGAUUAAUGGACUAAUAAAACUUUCACAAAGGAAGUUUUGCAUAUUACUCUGAAAAGUUUCUAAAUAAUACAGGAACCUGAAACAUGACUAUUGUUUAGAAAAUACCAAGUUUAAAGGGUGAAAUAGCUAAGAAGGAAGAGUCUAAGUUAAAGACUAUCCUUUCAGAUUUUGUUGUCUAAACAUUGAUUGAACAAAAUGACAAGCUGUCGUGUUAAUUACGAAGCUUAAAUGAACAAGCAAGCAAUGAUCAUCAGGCAAUAGGAAAAGGUUACCUCGGAGAAGAGAGCCUUCACUUGCUCAUAAGACCUUGGUACGACACUUUGAGAAUGGUGUAGGAAACCAGAACGGUUCAGAUACUAUAUCCCCGGGUUGUGAUAAAAGAGGACAGAGGAAAAGCCACAUAUUUCUACCCUUAGAUUACUGUGAGAGAAUGAUGGUACAAAUUUUGGCGUCCCAGUGGAUAUAACUUUGAGGUUUACAAUGGGAACAGUCUGGCUAAAUGUUCCUUCAGAAGAAUCAGUCAAGCGAGAAAGCGUUGUAGCACGUCAGUCACAAAACUUUGAUAAACUGCGAGUAGUGAUAACCUAAGCGAGAUCAUUCUCGGAAAAAUAAAAUUCUGCAUUCAUGCAAACACCAUUCACAUAUGUCUAGUUUGGAGCAUUUGUUUCAUUUUGAUCAUGUCAUCCUAAUCAUUAGGCAUAAUUAGGUUCAUAAUACAGGUCUUAUCUCCCUGAGAUUACAGUGGAACAGACCAAAGAAUUUCAGAUCUUAUCUCCCUGAGAUUACAGCGGAGCAGAUCAAAGAUAGUAAUCCUAUCUCCUUGAGAUUACAAUGGAGCGGAUUAAAGGAUCUUAUCUCUCUGAAGUUACAGUAGAGAAGAUCACAUCAGGUCUUAUCUCCCUGAGAUUACAGUGGAACAGACCAAAGAAUUUCAGAUCUUAUCUCCCUGAGGUUACAGUGGAGCAGAUUGAAGCCAGAGAUCUUAUCUCCCUGAGAUUACAGCGGAGCAGAUCGAAGACACUAUCCUAUCUCCCUGAAGUUACAGUGGAGUGGAUUAAAAUAAAGGAUCUUAUCUCUCUGAGGUUACAGCAGAGUAGAUCGCAUCAAGUCUUAUUUCCCUGAAGAUGCAGUGGAACAGACUGAAAACAAUAAGGCGUGUCUCCCUAAAGUUGUAGCAGAAUGGACAGUAGAUAGCAAUUCUUAUCAUGUCUAAUCUUAUCCCCCUGAAGUUGUAGUGGGGCAAGUUGAAGAUAUGAGUCCGAUCUCCCUGAAGUUGCAGUGGAGCGGGUCAAAAUGAUGGACCUUACCCCCUGAAGUUACAACAGAAUGGAUUGAAGCCACAAGUCAUAUCUCUUCUUGAAAUUGCAGAGGAGAGGAUCGACGCAACAAGACAAAGUGGAUUGAAAUGAAGCUACCUGAAAAAGAAAAGCACCAAGAAGUCGAGACUCGACGAGACCGGGCAAAAUUGGGCUUUCUUAGUCUUUGCUCUGUUAUCGUUACAUGACAACGAGCAAAGAGAGGCAGCUGUACAAGCCCAAUCUAAACCCUUUCCAAACCCAUUACAAAACAACCCACCAGCCCAAACCCAAGCCCAACUACUAGCCCAAUAACCCAAACACUUUCAGAAAAAACCUAACCCCUAACCCUAGCCGCCGCACCCAUCAC
Molecule: long non-coding RNA, 10883 nt
Filed under: Gossypium barbadense (sea-island cotton)
Lineage: Eukaryota; Viridiplantae; Streptophyta; Magnoliopsida; Malvales; Malvaceae
Description: long non-coding RNA (GBAR_LNC000171)
Source: RNAcentral